UGCCAAAAGCUCCCUCCUCCCUUGAGGAGUCUGGGACGAAGUAGUCUUAUCCUGUUAGCCUAGAAGGAGUGCCUCGGGUUAUCUGAUCUAUCCAUCAGAGUCCUAAGUGAGUUUCAUUCCAUCACCGACCUCACCCUUUAGACAGUGAGGUAGACCAUGAGUCCAGCUGGAUGGACCCAUUGAUCAGGUAUCUACAAGAGCGGUUGCUGCCAGAAGAUUGAGCUGAACUUG
Molecule: long non-coding RNA, 231 nt
Filed under: Elaeis guineensis (African oil palm)
Lineage: Eukaryota; Viridiplantae; Streptophyta; Magnoliopsida; Arecales; Arecaceae
Description: long non-coding RNA (EGUI_LNC033180)
Source: RNAcentral